CAAGAAGAUUCCAAGGGCAAUCGGUGGAUGCCUUGGCGCUGACAGGCGAUGAAGGACGCGGUGGGCUGCGAUAAGCCUCGGGGAGCCGCCAAACAGGCUUUGAUCCGGGGAUUUCCGAAUGGGGCAACCCGGCUGGAGUUAUGUCCAGUCAUUCCUUGUCUGAAUACAUAGGACUUGGAAAGCAAACUCGGGGAAGUGAAACAUCUCAGUACCCGAAGGAAAAGAAAUCAAACGAGAUUCCCUUAGUAGCGGCGAGCGAAAGGGGAGGAGCCCAAACCGUGCGUCUGCGGACGUGCGGGGUUGUAGGACCCUCACAAUGGAUCCGAAAGUAGGCAGCAGAAGGCGUUGGGAAGCGCCGCCAUAGCGGGUGAUAGCCCCGUAUGCGAACCCGAAAUCGGCCAGGAGGGCACCUGAGUAGGGCGGGACACGAGAAAUCCCGUUCGAAUCUGGGAGGACCAUCUUCCAAGGCUACAUACUCGUCAGCGACCGAUAGUGCACCAGUACCGUGAGGGAAAGGUGAAAAGAACCCCUGAUAGGGGAGUGAAAUAGAACCUGAAACCGAUUGCCUACAAGCAGUCCGAGGGGCUUCGUGCCCUGAGGGCGUGCCUUUUGCAUAAUGAGUCAGCGAGUUACUUUCAUGGGCAAGGUUAAGCGUAAGCGGAGCCGUAGCGAAAGCGAGUCUGAAUAGGGCGCCAAGUCCAUGGGAGUAGACCCGAAACCCGGUGAUCUAUCCAUGAGCAGGUUGAAGCUCAGGUAAAACUGAGUGGAGGACCGAACCGUUAUGGGCUGAAAACCAUUCGGAUGACUUGUGGAUAGGGGUGAAAGGCCAAUCAAACCGGGUGAUAGCUGGUUCUCCCCGAAAUAUAUUGAGGUAUAGCCUCAGAUGAUGACUGACGGAGGUAGAGCACUGACAGGGCUAGGGGCCCCACCAGGUUACCAAACCCUUUCAAACUCCGAAUGCCGUCAGUUUACAGUCUGGGAGUCAGACUCUGGGUGCGAAGGUCCAGGGUCGAGAGGGAAACAGCCCAGACCGACAGCUAAGGCCUCUAAGUCCAUGCUCAGUGGGAAAGGAGGUGGGAUUGUUUAGACAGCCAGGAGGUUGGCUUAGAAGCAGCCAUCCUUUAAAGAAAGCGUAAUAGCUCACUGGUCUAAUGAUCCUGCGCCUAAAAUGUAACGGGGCUAAGCAUGGCGCCGAAGCUUCGGGUGCGCCUAGUGCGCGCAGUAGGGGAGCGUUCUCUGCGGGAUGAAGGGGAGCCGGAAGGCCACCUGGACUGCAGAGAAGUGAUUAUGCUGACAUGAGUAACGAUAAAAGGAGUGAGAAACUCCUUCGCCGUAAGCCCAAGGUUUCCUGGGUAAAGGUAAUCUUCCCAGGGUGAGUCGGCCCCUAAGGCGAGAGCGAAAGCUGUAGUCGAUGGGAAACGGGUUAAUAUUCCCGUACCUGUUCAUUCGCGCGAUGCGGGGACGCAGAAGGGUAGACCAUCCGGCUGUUGGAAUAGCCGGUGCAAGCAGGUAGGCCGGACUCCCAGGCAAAUCCAGGAGUCUAAAGCCGAGACGCGAUGCCGUGACUUCACCGUCUGAAGUGGUUAAGCCCAUGCUGCCAAGAAAAGCCGCUAAGUAUAGUGUGAACAGACCGUACCGCAAACCAACACAGGUGGGCGGGUAGAAUAUACCAAGGCGCUUGAGAGAACGCUGGCCAAGGAACUCGGCAAAAUACCCCCGUAACUUCGGGAAAAGGGGGGCUUUCUAAGGUGCACAUACUUGCUAUGGAAGCCUAGGGAAGCCGCAGAGAAAUGGCGGUGGCGACUGUUUACUAAAAACACAGGACUCUGCGAAGUCGUAAGACGACGUAUAGGGUCUGACGCCUGCCCGGUGCCGGAAGGUUAAGGGGUGGGGUUAGCGCAAGCGAAGCUCUAAACCGAAGCCCCGGUAAACGGCGGCCGUAACUAUAACGGUCCUAAGGUAGCGAAAUUCCUUGUCGGGUAAGUUCCGACCUGCACGAAUGGCGUAACGAUCUCCGCGCUGUCUCGGCCAGCGACUCAGUGAAAUUGAAUUCGCGGUGAAAAUGCCGUGUACCCGUAGAGUGACGGAAAGACCCUGUGCACCUUUACUAUAGCUUGACAUUGUGUUUUGGACAUGCAUGUGUAGGAUAGGCGGGAGGCUGUGAACCAGGCGCGCUAGCGCUUGCGGAGCCACCCUUGAAAUACCGCCCUUGCAUGUUUAAGACCCUAAUCCUACGCCGUUACCCGGCUGGGAGACAGUGUCUGGUGGGUAGUUUGACUGGGGCGGUCGCCUCCCAAAACGUAACGGAGGCAUGCAAAGGUUCCCUCAGGCUGAUUGGAAACCAGCCGUUGAGUGCAAAGGCAUAAGGGAGCUUGACUGUGAGAGAGACAUCUCGAACAGGGACGAAAGUCGGUCUUAGUGAUCCGGUGGUCCCGCAUGGAAGGGCCAUCGCUCAUUGAAUAAAAGGUACGCCGGGGAUAACAGGCUGAUCGCGUCCAAGAGUUCACAUCGACGACGCGGUUUGGCACCUCGAUGUCGGCUCAUCACAUCCUGGGGCUGAAGCAGGUCCCAAGGGUUCGGCUGUUCGCCGAUUAAAGUGGUACGCGAGCUGGGUUUAAAACGUCGUGAGACAGUUUGGUCCCUAUCUUCUACGGGCGUAGGAGACUUGAGAGGGGCUGCCCCUAGUACGAGAGGACCGGGGUGGACGAUCCGCUAGUGGACCUGUUGUCGCGCCAGCGGCAUAGCAGGGUAGCUAUGAUCGGAAAAGAUAACCGCUGAAAGCAUCUAAGCGGGAAACUUGCCUCAAGAUAAGGUCUCCCUGAAGGACCCAGGUAGACUACCUGGUCGAUAGGCCGGAUGUGGAAGUGCAGCAAUGCAUGCAGCAAACCGGUACUAAUAGUCCGUUCGUCUUCUUACU
The sequence is a ribosomal RNA, 2917 nucleotides long. It matches the Rfam family "Bacterial large subunit ribosomal RNA". The record is from Rfam.